Bactrocera neohumeralis is the source of this 232-nucleotide long non-coding RNA. RefSeq lists it as uncharacterized. The record is from RefSeq and is a predicted model, not a curated record. NCBI's taxonomy places the organism in Eukaryota, Metazoa, Arthropoda, Insecta, Diptera, Tephritidae. The transcript is spliced from 2 exons.
GGAGCAAGUCGCUUCCGGGAGUGGCCAACAAACUCCACGGAGAAAAUUACGUUAUCUGGAAGCAAUGUCAUUUAUGGAAAAAAUUCCAAAUUCAAGGCGUACUAUUAGCAGCAUAAGCGAAGAUUUUGAAAGUGUCCAAGACAAUAUAAUUAUAGAUCCUUUAGAGGCAUCCACAUCAUCGGCGACAAUAGAAACGUCUCAGCCGGCAUCUUCGGAUGGACGUGGACAAAAG